UCCCUAGUGACUGAGUUGGUAAAGAAUCUGCCUGCAGUGCAGAAGACCCAGAUUCAACUCCUGGGUCAGGAA
Transfer RNA from Ovis aries (sheep), 72 nucleotides. It matches the Rfam family "tRNA". From Rfam's summary of the family: Transfer RNA (tRNA) molecules are approximately 80 nucleotides in length. Their secondary structure includes four short double-helical elements and three loops (D, anti-codon, and T loops). The record is from Rfam. Lineage: Eukaryota; Metazoa; Chordata; Mammalia; Artiodactyla; Bovidae.